Molecule: ribosomal RNA, 785 nt
Filed under: uncultured bacterium
Lineage: Bacteria
Description: bacterial SSU rRNA
Rfam family: Bacterial small subunit ribosomal RNA
Source: RNAcentral
AGAGUUUGAUCCUGGCUCAGGACGAACGCUGGCGGCGCGCCUAACACAUGCAAGUCGAACGAGCGAGAGGAGGUUUACUUUCUCAAGCGAGUGGCGAACGGGUGAGUAACGCGUGAGGAACCUGCCUCAAAGAGGGGGACAACAGUUGGAAACGACUGCUAAUACCGCAUAAGCCCACGACCCGGCAUCGGGUAGAGGGAAAAGGAGCAAUCCGCUUUGAGAUGGCCUCGCGUCCGAUUAGCUAGUUGGUGAGGUAAUGGCCCACCAAGGCGACGAUCGGUAGCCGGACUGAGAGGUUGAACGGCCACAUUGGGACUGAGACACGGCCCAGACUCCUACGGGAGGCAGCAGUGGGGAAUAUUGCACAAUGGGGGAAACCCUGAUGCAGCGACGCCGCGUGGAGGAAGAAGGUCUUCGGAUUGUAAACUCCUGUUGUUGAGGAAGAUAAUGACGGUACUCAACAAGGAAGUGACGGCUAACUACGUGCCAGCAGCCGCGGUAAAACGUAGGUCACAAGCGUUGUCCGGAAUUACUGGGUGUAAAGGGAGCGCAGGCGGGAAGACAAGUUGGAAGUGAAAUCCAUGGGCUCAACCCAUGAACUGCUUUCAAAACUGUUUUUCUUGAGUAGUGCAGAGGUAGGCGGAAUUCCCGGUGUAGCGGUGGAAUGCGUAGAUAUCGGGAGGAACACCAGUGGCGAAGGCGGCCUACUGGGCACCAACUGACGCUGAGGCUCGAAAGUGUGGGUAGCAAACAGGAUUAGAUACCCUGGUAGUCCACACUGUAAA